GGGCUUGACAUCCCACGAACCUGCCUGAAAGGGCGGGGUGCCCGCAAGGGAGCGUGGAGACAGGUGGUGCAUGGCUGUCGUCAGCUCGUGUCGUGAGAUGUUGGGUUAAGUCCCGCAACGAGCGCAACCCUCACCCCUGGUUGCCACCGGGUAAAGCCGAGCACUCGAGGGGAACUGCCAGCGUCAAGCUGGAGGAAGGCGGGGAUGACGUCAAGUCAUCAUGCCCCUUACGCCCUGGGCUACACACGUGCUACAAUGGCCGGUACAAAGGGACGCGAGACCGCGAGGUGGAGCUAAUCCAAAAAACCGGUCUAAGUUCAGAUUGCAGUCUGCAACUCGACUGCAUGAAGGAGGAAUCGCUAGUAAUCGCGCAUCAGCACGGCGCGGUGAAUACGUUCCCGGGCCUUGUACACACCGCCCGUCACACCACGAAAGCUGUCUGUACUCGAAGUCGCUGAGA
RNAcentral lists this ribosomal RNA (460 nucleotides) under uncultured Methylomirabilota bacterium. RNAcentral describes it as "bacterial SSU rRNA". It matches the Rfam family "Bacterial small subunit ribosomal RNA", at positions 977 to 1435 of the family's 1533-position model. Lineage: Bacteria; Methylomirabilota (SeqCode). The record is from RNAcentral.